CGCUGCGCUCCCUCCCCCUCGGCGCGCCACCCGCGGUCCACCGCCCCGUCCUCCUCCUUGGAGCGCCGAGGCCGGCCGGCGCCGCCGCCACGCCCGGCCUGGUCCGGGGCAACCACGCCCCGAGGCCGCUCCGACGCCGGCCCCGCCUGCCUCCAGAUCAGCGCCGUCCUUCCCUCCCCUGACGUCGCCUCUCUCCGGAUCCGCGCCGUCCUGCCCUCCCCCUGCCUCCGGAGCCGCGCCGUUGCCCCUGCAGUGCACCUGACGCCGGCUGGCUCUCCUGCCUCCCCUUUCGGCAGCUGUAACUCCGCGCCGGGGACUCGCUGCUCGUGCUCGGCGCGCUCUACUCCACCCAUCCGAGAGAGGUUGUGGCACCGUUGUUGACUCGUCACUUUGCGGGACAGUUAGGUGAUUGAAGAAAGAUGCCGGGCGGCGGACUUCAACGAUCGGUCGCCUCAAUGUACAGAAGAAUGAUGCCACACUCGGAUGCUGGUGAGGGCUCCAAUAGGGGUUCCGAGUUGGGGCGAGGCAAGGGUCGAGGGAAGGGUGGACCCAAGAGGGGGGAGGGAAGGGUGGAGGACUUGUGAGGGCUCCCAUAAACUUGUUUAUUUCAAUAUUUAUGGACUUGUGAACUUCUAGAUAUGUAUUUGUGAACUUUUGGACUUUGCAUUGGACUUCUGGAUGUGUUUGAAGUUAUUUCCGGCUAGUUGUGAUAUAUAUGUGAUAUGUAAUGCCUGUGAUAUAUAUGUUGUGA
Molecule: long non-coding RNA, 751 nt
Organism: Panicum virgatum (switchgrass)
Lineage: Eukaryota; Viridiplantae; Streptophyta; Magnoliopsida; Poales; Poaceae
Exons: 3
Source: RefSeq, a predicted model, not a curated record